GGCUUAUCUUCUGACUUUAGGGUUUCUGUUUCUUCUCCCCUCUUCCUUGCAUUUCUCUAGGGUUUUUCACUUUCCCCCAUCAUCUUUGUAUAAUCCGAAGCAAUGAGUCGUCAUCCUGAGGUGAAAUGGGCCCAGAGACUGGACAAGGUCUUUAUCACUGUACAACUUCCCGACUCAAAGGAUUCUAAGGUUAAUCUUGAGCCGGAUGGAGUAUUCACUUUCUCUGGCAGUGCUGGUUCAGAGAAUCACCAUUAUGAACUGAAGUUGGAGCUUUUCGAUAAAGUUAAUGUUGAGGAAAGUAAAGUUAACAUUGGAGUUCGGAGCAUAUUCUGUAUCCUAGAAAAGGCAGAGAAGGGAUGGUGGAAAAAGCUAUUGCGUGGAGAUGGAAAGCCACCCCACUAUGUCAAAGUAGAUUGGGACAAAUGG
This 426-nucleotide unclassified non-coding RNA is filed under the name Hevea brasiliensis (rubber tree). Lineage: Eukaryota; Viridiplantae; Streptophyta; Magnoliopsida; Malpighiales; Euphorbiaceae. The record is from RNAcentral.